GAUGAACGCUGGCGGCGUGCCUAAUACAUGCAAGUCGAGCGAACAGACGAGGAGCUUGCUCCUCUGACGUUAGCGGCGGACGGGUGAGUAACACGUGGAUAACCUACCUAUAAGACUGGGAUAACUUCGGGAAACCGGAGCUAAUACCGGAUAAUAUAUUGAACCGCAUGGUUCAAUAGUGAAAGACGGUUUUGCUGUCACUUAUAGAUGGAUCCGCGCCGCAUUAGCUAGUUGGUAAGGUAACGGCCUACCAAGGCAACGAUGCGUAGCCGACCUGAGAGGGUGAUCGGCCACACUGGAACUGAGACACGGUCCAGACUCCUACGGGAGGCAGCAGUAGGGAAUCUUCCGCAGUGGGCGAAAGCCUGACGGAGCAACGCCGCGUGAGUGAUGAAGGUCUUCGGAUCGUAAAACUCUGUUAUUAGGGAAGAACAAAUGUGUAAGUAACUAUGCACGUCUUGACGGUACCUAAUCAGAAAGCCACGGCUAACUACGU
Molecule: ribosomal RNA, 496 nt
Filed under: uncultured bacterium
Lineage: Bacteria
Description: partial 16S ribosomal RNA
Rfam family: Bacterial small subunit ribosomal RNA
Source: RNAcentral